AUACGGAGGAUCCGAGCGUUAUCCGGAUUUAUUGGGUUUAAAGGGUGCGCAGGCGGCCAUUUAAGUCAGCGGUUAAAUCGUGGGGCUCAACCCCAUUCUGCCGUUGAUACUGGGUGGCUUGAUUGCGGUCGAGGUUGGCGGAAUUCGUUGUGUAGCGGUGAAAUGCAUAGAUAUGACGAAGAACACCGAUUGCGUAGGCAGCUGACCAGACCGCAAAUGACGCUCAUGCACGAAAGUGCGGGAAUCGAACAGGAUUAGAUACCCUGGUAGUCCGCACAGUAAACGAUGAAUACUUGUUUUCGGCGAUACAAUGUCGGAGGCAAAGCGAAAGCGAUAAGUAUUCCACCUGGGGAGUACGCCGGCAACGGUGAAACUCAAAUGAAUUGACGGGG
Molecule: ribosomal RNA, 392 nt
Filed under: uncultured bacterium
Lineage: Bacteria
Description: partial 16S ribosomal RNA
Rfam family: Bacterial small subunit ribosomal RNA
Source: RNAcentral